RNAcentral lists this ribosomal RNA (293 nucleotides) under uncultured prokaryote. RNAcentral's name for it is "partial 16S ribosomal RNA". It matches the Rfam family "Archaeal small subunit ribosomal RNA", at positions 455 to 747 of the family's 1478-position model. The record is from RNAcentral.
GUGUCAGCCGCCGCGGUAAUACCGGCAGCACGAGUGAUGACCGCUAUUAUUGGGCCUAAAGCGUCCGUAGCUGGCCACGCAAGUCUAUCGGGAAAUCCGCGCGCUUAACGCGCGGGCGUCCGGUGGAAACUGCGUGGCUUGGGACCGGAAGACCAGAGGGGUACGUCCGGGGUAGGAGUGAAAUCCCGUAAUCCUGGACGGACCACCGGUGGCGAAAGCGCCUCUGGAAGACGGAUCCGACGGUGAGGGACGAAAGCUCGGGUCACGAACCGGAUUAGAAACCCUUGUAGUCC